GGGACGGGCGGUGCCCCAGGGCGGGUCUGUCAUGAGGGGCGGCUGGUGCCGCCCUGGGACCCCGCCGCCUCUGCCCGACUCUGUCCAGGGGCGCCCCAAUGCUUGCCCCGCCGCCUGGUCCUUCGCGGCACUCAUGCAUCGCGAUCCCCAGAGGUGUUUUGGAACCCGAGAAUGAGCCUCUCGGUCAGUACUAAGGGCUGGAGACUAAUCACAAGUCUGUGUUCACCACAAAAAACUGUCUUCUGUUUCUCGAGGCUCUGCUCUUUAUCCCUUUGCGAGGCUGGGAAGGAGCUGAAAUUCCAGAGCUGCUUCUGUAGCACUGAUGAGAACAGGGGUCUUGGAAGGACUGAGGUUUGGCGGCUGUGGAGCCUCUUGGAAACGCUACACAGUGUUGUGUCUGUUCCCUGUAUUUGGAAGGAAAUCUAAUUGUGACUGGAAGUCUCACCCAAAUACAACCAUUUUUGAUGGCAUAAUUUUCCCUGGAUUCAGCUAUACAGAAUGUUGGGAAUCUGUAGCCAGAAAACGAACAAUGCACCAAUGUGGGAAACCAGCCUAGUUUUGGCCACAAUAGCUCUGUGCCUUCGAUACCGUCAUUCUGUGAACACCCACCUGUUUUUUCCAGAGCAGCACAACUGGUCUAUAUGGAACAUACCGGGAAGCCAAGUGGGCGAUUGCCUGUGCUGUUUAUUUUUAUGGCAGUUGGCAGCACUGGAAAAUUCUCAACACACACAGAUUGCAGGAUGGACGGCAGAGAUUGGGAUGGAUGAACAAGGAUUAGCCCUCACAAUGGUACAGGAUGGGCCAUAUCUCCAGAAAACAAGCCCUGCUGAAAAAAAACUCUCCAGAUAAUGAUGGAAAGCUGAAACCAGCUGAUCUUAGUUUUUGGAACCAGAAGAAACAAGUUGAGCAUGCUUCAUGGAGCACCGGAUCUAACUCAGAACAUGCCCCAUGCAAAAAGAAACCUCACCAAACAGCUGAAUUUGUUCAAUUCACAUUUAGGAUGAACUUGUUUAGGACCAAAGCUAUAAAAUUUUGUGUAAAAUUUAGUAUUUUGUACAAGUCUCAUCUCUUAAUUAUACCACAAACAGCAUGCUUAUUUUGGCAUUAAUACCAAUGCACAGAGCAUGGGGCUGGAGGAAACUAAGAUGCACAAAUGCACUACUUAGGAGCUUUUCUUGCAGUGAAUUAGAUUUUAUCUUUAUGGACUUUUUUUUUCCUCAGCUGAUUAAGAUGAGUAUCAUCUGUAAAGUUUCAAACUGGAACUCAAAAGAACAAUUUUAUUACUGCUUGUAGCAUGAAGAAGCUGGUGCCACGCUGUUGACUUUAGGAGGAGGAAGAAAUUAACAGAACUAGUGGGAGGUACCAAUGUCUUAAAAUCCUAGUUACUCACCAAACUGGCAAGGAGGCAUGCAUGUGCUAAUCUCCACGCCAGCAAGAAGAAACAGGGCUGCAUAGUAUAUGUGUCUCCUCAAAAUACAAGUGCAAGUUAUCUCCAUAAAAAUCUUCAGUGGCUGCUUUCUGCUGGGAAGCCUCAGCUCUUGCAGGCACUCCUGGCCUCUCCUGACAAUGUUUCAUAAGGUGUGCACGUGUUGGUUAUUUUGAUGUUCCCCUUCCUGCCUCCUCUGUGAGCAUAAAUUCUGGCUGGCAAUAAAACCCCUUAAGUCAGAGGCCACGUCCCUUUGUAA
Molecule: long non-coding RNA, 1685 nt
Organism: Parus major (Great Tit)
Lineage: Eukaryota; Metazoa; Chordata; Aves; Passeriformes; Paridae
Exons: 4
Source: RefSeq, a predicted model, not a curated record